AGAACAACUCUCAGCAACGGAUAUCUUGGCUCUUGCAACGAUGAAGAACGCAGCGAAAUGCGAUACGUAGUGUGAAUUGCAGAAUUCCGCGAAUCAUCGAGUUUUUGAACGCAAGUUGCGCCCGAGGCUUGUCCGAGGGCAUUUCCGCUAGAGCGUCACC
RNAcentral lists this ribosomal RNA (160 nucleotides) under Bryum argenteum. RNAcentral's name for it is "5.8S ribosomal RNA". It matches the Rfam family "5.8S ribosomal RNA". Rfam says of the family: 5.8S ribosomal RNA (5.8S rRNA) is a component of the large subunit of the eukaryotic ribosome. RNAcentral also lists the same sequence under 4 other names. Lineage: Eukaryota; Viridiplantae; Streptophyta; Bryopsida; Bryales; Bryaceae. The record is from RNAcentral.